This 231-nucleotide ribosomal RNA is filed under the name uncultured Staphylococcus sp. Its description in RNAcentral is "partial 16S ribosomal RNA". It matches the Rfam family "Bacterial small subunit ribosomal RNA", at positions 109 to 334 of the family's 1533-position model. Lineage: Bacteria; Bacillati; Bacillota; Bacilli; Caryophanales; Staphylococcaceae. The record is from RNAcentral.
AGUAACACGUGGGUAACCUGCCUAUAAGACUGGGAUAACUUCGGGAAACCGGAGCUAAUACCGGAUAAUAUUUUGAACCGCAUGGUUCAAAAGUGAAAGACGGUCUUGCUGUCACUUAUAGAUGGAUCCGCGCUGCAUUAGCUAGUUGGUAAGGUAACGGCUUACCAAGGCAACGAUGCAUAGCCGACCUGAGAGGGUGAUCGGCCACACUGGAACUGAGACACGGUCCAG